GGACAGUGCCUGAUGGGUAGUUUAACUGGGGCGGUUGCCUCCUAAAAAGUAACGGAGCGCCCAAAGGUUCCCUCAGCCUGGUUGGCAAUCAGGUGUCGAGUGUAAGUGCACAAGGGAGCUUGACUGUGAGAGAGACAUCUCGAGCAGGGACGAAAGUCGGGACUAGUGAUCCGGCGGUACAUUGUGGAAUGGCCGUCGCUCAACGGAUAAAAGGUACCUCGGGGAUAACAGGCUGAUCUUGCCCAAGAGUCCAUAUCGACGGCAUGGUUUGGCACCUCGAUGUCGGCUCGUCGCAUCCUGGGGCUGGAGUAGGUCCCAAGGGUUGGGCUGUUCGCCCAUUAAAGCGGUACGCGAGCUGGGUUUAGAACGUCGUGAGACAGUUCGGUCCCUAUCCGCUGCGCGCGCAGGAAAUUUGAGAAGGGCUGUCCUUAGUACGAGAGGACCGGGACGGACGAACCUCUGGUGUGUCAGUUGUACUGCCAAGUGCACCGCUGAUUAGCUACGUUCGGAUGGGAUAACCGCUGAAAGCAUCUAAGCGGGAAGCUCGCUUCAAGAUGAGAUUUCCAUACACCUCGUGUGUGAGAGGCCCCCAGCCAGACCACUGGGUUGAUAGGCCGGAUGUGGAAGCGAGGACUAACGACUCGUGAAGCUGACCGGUACUAAUAGGCCGAUAACUUACACCACACACCC
RNAcentral lists this ribosomal RNA (690 nucleotides) under Vibrio cholerae. RNAcentral's name for it is "bacterial LSU rRNA". It matches the Rfam family "Bacterial large subunit ribosomal RNA", at positions 2249 to 2925 of the family's 2925-position model. Lineage: Bacteria; Pseudomonadati; Pseudomonadota; Gammaproteobacteria; Vibrionales; Vibrionaceae. The record is from RNAcentral.